CGCGGUGGCUCAUGCCUGUGAUCCCAGCACUUUGGGAGUGGAUCACAAGGCCAGGAGAUCGAGACCAUCCUGGCUAACACAGUGAAACCCCAUCUCUACUAAAAAAAAAUACAAAAAAUUAGCCGCUCGUGGUGGCAUGCCACUCUGUAGACCCAGCUACUCGGGAGGCUGAAGCAGGAGAAUAGUUUGAACCCAAGAGGCGGAGGCUACGGUGAGCCAAGAUCGCCCCACUGCACUCCAGCCUCGGCGACAGAGUGAGACACCAACUCAAUAAAUAAAAAAUAAAAUAAACAAGACUUCCAGACCACGGGUGGAGAAGAUCCAGCCAGGGAGCUGGGCACAACUCCCCGUUUCACUGUGCGGUUUCAUUUCAGUUGGAAAGAACUUCAUCUGUUGAAGUGCACAGACAGCAUUCAGAGGCUAGAGACGCCGGCAUCGGCACAGCACACAGUGCCCUCUGUUCCCCUGGCCCAGGCCAAGAGCUCUUUGUGUGUCUGAGUGACUGGUCAGCACUGGGCAACAAACCCACGCCGGGAGACGGACAGCGAGCCGCCUCAACCCACCAGCCUCUGGGGAGCCUCUCAUCUCGCAAGCACCUGCGGAGGCCCGCCCGGCGCCAGACCAGUCCAGGCACCCAGAGGCCUCUGCUCUCCUGGAGCUCAUGACAAGUAAACAAAUACACAAGAUGGUUUGGGAUCCCGAUGAAUAAGUUAAGCAGGGCAACCCAACAGGGAGGACAGGGCUCCCGCAUGUGACGGACCCAGGAGGGAGCGACCCCCCGUGUUGACAUGGGGGGAAAGGCGGGAAGUCAGAGAGGCCGGGAGGUCAGAGAGGCCAGGAGGUCAGAGAGGCCAGGCCCCUUCACACGGGGUGGGCGGGGGGGGGGGGGAUUUGCUCCCUCUGGAGGCCAAAGAGGAGGGUCCUUUCCACCUCUUCCAGCUUCUGGGGGCGGCUGGCUUCCUGGGCUUGUGGCGUGUCUGUCACUCCAGUCUCUGCCUCUGCCUUCACGUGGCCUCAGUGCAUGUCCUCACAUGGCCUUCUUAUAAAGAUACCUGUCAUCGCAUUUAGGACCCACCCUAAUCCAGCACGACCUCAUCUUAACUAAUGGCACAUGCAAAGACCCUGAUUCCAAAUCCGGUUAUGUUCUGGGGAUCCGGUGAACACAAAUUUCGGUGCUUUGCUCAGUUUCUAUGGAGUCUUGUGUAUAGGAAGGGACAGGAGAAGAACCAAAUUCUCAUCUGAGGCAGAUUUUUAUUCCUCAUUGCAAAAUUUAAAC
RNAcentral lists this long non-coding RNA (1276 nucleotides) under Homo sapiens (human). RNAcentral's name for it is "HSALNT0387728". Lineage: Eukaryota; Metazoa; Chordata; Mammalia; Primates; Hominidae. The record is from RNAcentral.